GAAGCUGGAAUUGCUAGUAAUGGCAGGUCAGCAUACUGCCGUGAAUACGUUCCCGGGCCUUGUACACACCGCCCGUCACACCAUGAGAGUUGGAAAUACCCGAAGCCUGUGAGCUAACUUAAAGAGGCAGCAGUCGAAGGUAGAGCCAAUGAUUGGGGUGAAGUCGUAACAAGGUAAC
RNAcentral lists this ribosomal RNA (178 nucleotides) under uncultured bacterium. RNAcentral's name for it is "partial 16S ribosomal RNA". It matches the Rfam family "Bacterial small subunit ribosomal RNA", at positions 1322 to 1500 of the family's 1533-position model. The record is from RNAcentral.